CUCGCUGAACUUAAGCAUAUCAAUAAGCGGAGGAAAAGAAACCAACAGGGAUUGCCUCAGUAACGGCGAGUGAAGCGGCAACAGCUCAAAUUUGAAAUCUGGCUUCUCGGAGCCCGAGUUGUAAUUUGUAGAGGAUGUUUCGGGUACCGCUCCGGCUUAAUUUUCUUGGAACAGAAUGUCACAGAGGGUGAGAAUCCCGUCUGGAGCCGCGGUAGGGCCUAUGUGAAACUCCUUCGACGAGUCGAGUUGUUUGGGAAUGCAGCUCAAAAUGGGUGGUAAAUUUCAUCUAAAGCUAAAUAUUGGCCAGAGACCGAUAGCGCACAAGUAGAAUGAUCGAAAGAUGAAAAGCACUUUGAAAAGAGAGUUAAACAGUAUGUGAAAUUGUUGAAAGGGAAGCGCUGGCAGCCAGACUUGCGUGUAGGGGUUCCCCCUCGCUUCUGCGUGGGUUACUCCCCUAUAUCCAGGCCAACAUCGGUUUUGGCGGUCGGUCAAAGGCCUUGGGAAUGUACCUUCCCCCGGGAAGACUUAUAGCCCAGGGUGUCAUGCGGCCUGCCGGGACCGAGGAACGCGCUUCGGCUCGGAUGUUGGCGUAAUGGUUGUCAGCGACCCGUCUUGAAACACGG
This 623-nucleotide ribosomal RNA is filed under the name uncultured fungus. RNAcentral describes it as "eukaryotic LSU rRNA". It matches the Rfam family "Eukaryotic large subunit ribosomal RNA", at positions 24 to 664 of the family's 3401-position model. Lineage: Eukaryota; Fungi. The record is from RNAcentral.